This 119-nucleotide ribosomal RNA is filed under the name Pteropus alecto (black flying fox). The record is from RNAcentral. Lineage: Eukaryota; Metazoa; Chordata; Mammalia; Chiroptera; Pteropodidae. RNAcentral also lists the same sequence under 1 other name.
CUCUAUGGCCAUGCCACCCUGAACAUGCCUGAUCUCAUCUGAUCUUGGAAGUUAAGCAGUGUUGGGCCUGAUUAGUACUUGGAUGGGAGAACACCUAGGAAUACCAGGUGCUGUAGGCA